Molecule: long non-coding RNA, 946 nt
Filed under: Homo sapiens (human)
Lineage: Eukaryota; Metazoa; Chordata; Mammalia; Primates; Hominidae
Description: non-protein coding lnc-ARL14EP-3:1
Source: RNAcentral
AGCUCUUGUACCAGGGAAAUGAAGAUUUGAUCCUGCACUGCUCUUAAGACACUCAGGAAUCUCUCCGUUACCUCAGAGAAUCUGGCCACAAACAGGACUCAGAGUGGAAAUUGCCCAACCUGUCUGCUAUCACUCUCUUGAAAGAGACAGAUCCGAUCAGCAUCUCUCAACUGUGACUCAUGAGGUAUUUUUGGCUAUGUCAAGAACAUUCUCAAACAAGGUUCCAGGAAGCUAAACCUUACAGAGAGAAACACAGGCUCUCUUGCCACCUGAUUCUCAUGUGGGUUUGGUCGAGGAAGGACCAAGAGGAACUUGGAAAUCAGAAGGAAAAAGAGUUUAAGUAUUUCCCAACAUUCUCUCUAAGGAUUUUGCCACUUCUUUGCAGAACAAAGAAUGCACACCUACCAAAGGGCUACUUUGCACUCAGCACUGAGUUUAUAUUUAAGCUGGUAGAUUUUGAAUGAAGUAGAUUACCCUUCAUAGUAUGAAUGGACCUCAUCCAAUCAGUUGAAGGCCUGAAUAGAACAAAAGACUGACCUCCCUGAGCAAGAGAGAAUUCUGUGGCAGGCUGCCUUUGGACUUCAACUGCAACAUCAGCUCUUCCCUGGGUCUCCCACUUGACAGCCUUCGAACUUGAACUGUAGCAUCGGCUCAUCCUGGGACUCCAAUCUGCCAGACCACAGCAGAUUUUGGACUUGCCAGCCUCUAUAAUCACAUGAGCCAAUUCCUUAAAAUAAAUAUCUCUCUCCAGACACACACAUUUUAUUGGUUCUGAAUAAUACACUCUUCAUAGUCUUCUUCUUGUUAUUAUUCUUCAGUGGGAAAGGAGGAUAAGAGCAAGUAUAUACUGAGUGCUUACUAUGUGCCAAACAUUAUGUUUAUUUAUUUACUUGUUUAUUUUUAGAGACACCAUUGGCUCCUCACAAUAUCUCUAUGAAAAAUGUAU